AGACCCGAAACCCGGUGAUCUAGCCAUGGGCAGGUUGAAGGUUGGGUAACACUAACUGGAGGACCGAACCGACUAAUGUUGAAAAAUUAGCGGAUGACCUGUGGCUGGGGGUGAAAGGCCAAUCAAACCGGGAGAUAGCUGGUUCUCCCCGAAAGCUAUUUAGGUAGCGCCUCGUGAAUUCAUCUCCGGGGGUAGAGCACUGUUUCGGCUAGGGGGCCAUCCCGGCUUACCAACCCGAUGCAAACUGCGAAUACCGGAGAAUGUUAUCACGGGAGACACACGGCGGGUGCUAACGUCCGUCGUGAAGAGGGAAACAACCCAGACCGCCAGCUAAGGUCCCAAAGUCAUGGUUAAGUGGGAAACGAUGUGGGAAGGCCCAGACAGCCAGGAUGUUGGCUUAGAAGCAGCCAUCAUUUAAAGAAAGCGUAAUAGCUCACUGGUCGAGUCGGCCUGCGCGGAAGAUGUAACGGGGCUAAACCAUGCACCGAAGCUGCGGCAGCGACACUCAGGUGUUGUUGGGUAGGGGAGCGUUCUGUAAGCCUGCGAAGGUGGCCUGUGAGGGUUGCUGGAGGUAUCAGAAGUGCGAAUGCUGACAUAAGUAACGAUAAAGCGGGUGAAAAGC
RNAcentral lists this ribosomal RNA (622 nucleotides) under Salmonella enterica subsp. enterica serovar Infantis. RNAcentral's name for it is "partial 23S ribosomal RNA". It matches the Rfam family "Bacterial large subunit ribosomal RNA", at positions 711 to 1329 of the family's 2925-position model. RNAcentral also lists the same sequence under 1 other name. The record is from RNAcentral. Lineage: Bacteria; Pseudomonadati; Pseudomonadota; Gammaproteobacteria; Enterobacterales; Enterobacteriaceae.